RNAcentral lists this ribosomal RNA (238 nucleotides) under uncultured bacterium. RNAcentral describes it as "partial 16S ribosomal RNA". It matches the Rfam family "Bacterial small subunit ribosomal RNA", at positions 96 to 334 of the family's 1533-position model. The record is from RNAcentral.
CGGCGGACGGGUGAGUAACGCGUGGGUAACCUACCCUGUACACACGUAUAACAUACCGAAAGGUAUGCUAAUACGGGAUAAUAUAUUUGAGAGGCAUCUCUUGAAUAUCAAAGGUGAGCCAGUACAGGAUGGACCCGCGUCUGAUUAGCUAGUUGGUAAGGUAACGGCUUACCAAGGCGACGAUCAGUAGCCGACCUGAGAGGGUGAUCGGCCACAUUGGAACUGAGACACGGUCCAA